GUGCGGAGGGUCCGGGAAUCGGGCCGGGGAUCUUCGGACCCCGCCCAGCUCUCGACUGGGCCCGACGCCGCGUGCACUUUCCGCGGGCAGAGCGCCACGACCGGUUUCGCGGCGGCGAUAAGCCCGUGCGGAUGCGUGGCACGAUCUCACGGUCGUGCUACGGCCGCACGCGGUGAGCCGCUGACGGGACCGAGGAACGGCCGCGCGCUUCGAGGCUGCCCGGCCUCGCUGGGGAGUUCGACUGGCAGGGACUGGGCAACCGUGCCUGCCGACUGCUCCCCGGUGCCGGUUCGGGACAUCCGGGCGCGU
This 309-nucleotide ribosomal RNA is filed under the name Radix rubiginosa. Its description in RNAcentral is "partial 28S ribosomal RNA". Lineage: Eukaryota; Metazoa; Mollusca; Gastropoda; Lymnaeidae. The record is from RNAcentral.